Molecule: long non-coding RNA, 687 nt
Filed under: Marmota monax (woodchuck)
Lineage: Eukaryota; Metazoa; Chordata; Mammalia; Rodentia; Sciuridae
Source: RNAcentral
CAUCCUAUGUUGCUUUAUUGGAAAGUUUAAGCCAUUAACAUUUAGAGUUACUAUUGAUAUAUGGUUUGUACUUCCAGCCAUGUUUGAUUAUUUAUCUUUUUUUUAAUUUAGUUUGUUUCUCCAUGAUUAGCUUUCCCCCCGCCCUUUGUCUUUACUGAGGCACUUCCCACUGAUGGUUUUGGUUAUUGUUUUUCAUUUCUUCCUAAUUUAGUGUUUUGCUCAAGAUGCUUUGCAAUGCUGGUUUUCUGGCUGUAAUUUUUUUAAACUUUUGUUUAUCAUGAAAGAUUUUUAUUUCGUUGUCAUACCUGAAGCUUAAUUUUGCUGGAUACAGAAUUCUUGGUUGGCAUCCAUUAUCUUUCAGUGUUUGAAAUACGUUGUUCCAGGAUCUUCUCGCUUUUAGCGUCUGUGAUGAAAAAUACGUUGUUAACCUUAUUGGUUUACCCCUGAAUGUAAUCUACCUCCUUUAUCUUGUAGCUUUUAAUAUUUUUUUCUUUGUUCUAUAUAUUGGAUAUCUUCGUAACAAUGUGUCUUGGCGUUGGCCUACUGUGAUUUUGUAUGCUCAGUGUACUGUAUGCAUCUACAAUUUGUAUAUCUGUUUCCUUUUUGAUUUCUGGAAAGAUUUCUGUAAUUAUUUCAUUCAGCAGGUUACUCAUUCCCUUGGUUUUAAUCUCUAUACCUUCCUCUAUC